GGUAAAGGAUUAUUUCAGAUAUACCGACUUAAUUAUUUUCAAAUAAGUGGGAUCCCAAAAAAUGAUUUAACGGCAAAAAUAAAGUGUAAAAUUAUAUUAAACCCAAUUUUCAUCAUUUCCUUUUCAUAUAUUGAAUACACUAUUUACACCAACCACUGGUGAAUUAUAUUCGGAUUUCGGUCUUAGGUAUCCGUCCUUGUCUCCGGGAAUAUUAUACCCACACAAGUUGUCAACAUCCGUUUUCAAACUGUUCAAAGUGUUCUUCACAAUCUCACUGAAAAAUAUUCACGCUAUCACUUCGUGCUCAGAUAAUAGAACAUUGUAAACCUCUAACAGCAAAUACAGACCAAAAUUAAUCAAAUUUGAAAGCACGGAUGAUCACGUGUAAUGCCGACUGAUGGAGAAAGAUGUUCACUAUGGAUCAAUAAUUCAAAACAGAGGACCUUUUUAUUAAAACAAAAAUACUUGUACAUGUAUGAAAUUCUGUACAUACAACAAGAAAACAGUAAUCAAAUGGAAUGUCCAGUAUUGUUGAAAGCAAAAUUAUUUUUGUUAACAGAAAACAAUAGGACUGCAAUAUAUUAAGGUACACAACACAUGGUGUCCGAAGAAUAAUUUUACUGGAGGAUAAAAAAUUUAAUACCUGGAAUCAGCAAUUUACAAAAUGUAUAUGAAAUUUAUUAAGAGAGAUAUAUUCAUGUACAGAAUGGUAACCCCACCAAAUAACCCAGGUGGUUCAAGUGAUUAUUAGCAGACAUUUUUGUUGAACUAAUGCAGGAUUAAAUAAAUGAAGCUUUAGCAGACUAUGGGCUCCAAAGUGUAGUAUAAAAAAGAGGAUUUUUAAAUAUGUGAGACUCAUCAACAUUAAAAUGUGCAUAAGUGAAAUGUUACAAUAUUUAGUAAAAAAUUCAGAUUA
Mytilus californianus (California mussel) is the source of this 916-nucleotide long non-coding RNA. RefSeq lists it as uncharacterized. NCBI's taxonomy places the organism in Eukaryota, Metazoa, Mollusca, Bivalvia, Mytilida, Mytilidae. The record is from RefSeq and is a predicted model, not a curated record. The transcript has 3 exons.